Long non-coding RNA from Octopus sinensis (East Asian common octopus), 149 nucleotides. RefSeq lists it as uncharacterized. The transcript is spliced from 3 exons. The record is from RefSeq and is a predicted model, not a curated record. Lineage: Eukaryota; Metazoa; Mollusca; Cephalopoda; Octopoda; Octopodidae.
UAUAUAUACAUGUAAUUGUUGUACAGUGGGUUCCUCCCACGGGUGUGAUGUGUGACUGCCAUUGCACUGUAGUUGCUGUUUUAUGCUAGUACCCACAAUAGUUACUAGUCAUCGGAUACCGUUGUAUAUCUUCAUACCAGAAUAGUAAU